UACGUAGGGGGCAAGCGUUGUCCGGAAUUAUUGGGCGUAAAGAGCGUGUAGGCGGCCAGGUAGGUCUGCUGUGAAAACUCGAGGCUUAACCUCGAGCUGUCGGCUGAAACCAUCUGGCUAGAGUCCGGAAGAGGAGAAUGGAAUUCCCGGUGUAGCGGUGAAAUGCGCAGAUAUCGGGAAGAACACCCGUGGCGAAGGCGGUUCUCUGGGCCUGACCUGACGCUGAGGAGCGAAAGCGUGGGGAGCGAACAGG
RNAcentral lists this ribosomal RNA (253 nucleotides) under uncultured bacterium. RNAcentral describes it as "partial 16S ribosomal RNA". It matches the Rfam family "Bacterial small subunit ribosomal RNA", at positions 524 to 776 of the family's 1533-position model. The record is from RNAcentral.